GCCGAGCCUAGUAACGAGAGCUUGUGACCCAACAUGGGGGCAUUAAAGGUGGAAUGUGGGAAGGUCUCUUGUUA
This 74-nucleotide small RNA is filed under the name Prunus dulcis (almond). RNAcentral's name for it is "sRNA ncRNA". The record is from RNAcentral. Lineage: Eukaryota; Viridiplantae; Streptophyta; Magnoliopsida; Rosales; Rosaceae.